Long non-coding RNA from Sphaeramia orbicularis (orbiculate cardinalfish), 3876 nucleotides. RefSeq lists it as uncharacterized. NCBI's taxonomy places the organism in Eukaryota, Metazoa, Chordata, Actinopteri, Kurtiformes, Apogonidae. The record is from RefSeq and is a predicted model, not a curated record. The transcript has 3 exons.
GUUAUAAACAUUUUCAUAGUAUAAUUUUACUUGUUUUACUGUUAUUAUUUUACUGGUCUGGCCCACUUCAGAUCAUAUGGGGCUGAAUGUGGAACCUGAAGUAAAAUGAGUUUGAUGGCCCUGACCUAGAGGAAAGGAAACAGCAAAAAAGUUCAUACAUGAACACAAAAAAUAGCAUACCCAAUUAGAUAUAUGAUUUUCUUUCAAACAAAAUGUUUAUAGUCAAGAUUGAUGACUUUUUUUUCUUUGUUUGAGGUUAAUAUUAUAACUAGUUUCUAAGAGGAAAAAGUAAUUUGACCAGCUGAUAACACAGCUCCCCUGAAAACAGUUUGUUACUAUAUUUGACAUACCUACUAUACUAAUAAAUGGAAAAACAACAAAUAAAUCUGGAACUGUAUAUCCAACUAAUAGUCAAAAGUCUAAGCAAUUCUGGCUGUGACAGGUUUGAUCCAGUUUUACCAAUAUUUACAAAACAUCCAUCUGGGUCUGAUUAUUUCCAGUGAAUCAGUUGAUCUGUAGUUUGAAAUAUUUAAACAAUCAGGCAAACCUUUCUCAUUGCAUCAUUAUUAAUGUUAGUUUUCCUUUUCUAAAAAUAAUAUUGAGCCUUUUCAGGCACUUAAACCUUAGACAAGUUAGGGAUAAGGAAUCAGACCAAACAACAACAGAUCAGCCACUGAAAAAAAUCAAUGGUUAAAACUGUAAAAAUUCAACCUAUGUUUGUUUUUUCCUCUUUGUUCCUCUGAUUCAUUCAAAGUGUUUUAUUGUUUUUAUAUUUUUCUUACUAGUAGAAAGCACUAUGAAUUGAAUCUCAGCCACAGUUUCGUCCUAUACAGUUCUAUAAUCGUAAAAGGCUGUCAUUUAAGGGUCUACUGUGAGCUGUGUAAAAACCAAAAAUUAAAGUCAUUACACUUUAUUUAAUUAUUUAUUUAAAGUAAUCCAUUUAUUCAUUUUUUGAACUGCAGCUACCAGCGGGCAGAAGUGGGGUACACCCUGGACAUGUCACGAAGUUAGUCACAGUGUAGCUUUAAUUUAAUUUAAUUUAAUUUAUUUCUGUAAUGUUUAAGCUUGUUUUGUUGAGGGGGGAAAAUCCAUAUGUGUGAGUAAUCUGCACUGAUAAAUCAAGUAAAUAGACUGCUGUAUUCUCAAUAAUAAUCACAAUGACUCCUCUGUCAAAUCACACAGAUGAUGACGAUGUCUGAUGAAAAUUGUUAGCCUCUUAGCAGAAUUGCCUAAGUCAUAUUUUUUGCCAAAUUGUAAUAUCUGCAUAACUUUAGCUUCCUAAUACUGCUACUUCAUUUUGUGUCAUUGGCCAUGUUCUGAAAAAACAAACAAAAUGACUUAGGCGGUAAUGCUAUGAGGCAAAUGAAAUGUCUCCUAGCUUUGUUUUUGUUUAUUUUUUUAAUUAAACCUUUAUUGUAGGGGUGUAACGGUGCACUCGUUUGUACUGAACUGUUUCAGUUUGGGGCCUUCAAUACAACACAGAGGUGUACUGAAUAAAUACAUGUAGCCUAUGUGAAGAACGCAGGCGGAACCCACACACUAUGAGCUGGGUGGCCGCAAGUGGAACCCAUGUGCAAUAUUUGAUAUUCUAGUUUGAUGUCUAAGCAGUCCAAUCACCAUCCACAUGCUGAAGGUGAACCAGUAUGGCAGCUCAGAGCAGCGUCACAGGUACGCACCCAGAGUUGGAAGACCCUCCGUCUUCUCUAAAGUUUCCGAUUUGGGAGCAUUUCGGAUUCCCUGUUGGUUAUGUCAGUGGAGAGAAACAAGUCAACAAAACAAGAGUGGUGUGCCAACAUUGUUUUGUGAAGAUCAGUUAUAUUUAAAGUUUUUUUUCUAAUGAAAUUGGACUCCUUCACUGUACUGAAAACAUAUUGAAAAUGUAUCAAACCGAAAACGUAGCAAACCAACAUUUUUCUGUCCCGUUACACCCCUACUUUAUUGAUAAUUAACAGGUAGAAAGAUGCAACAUUUAACAAAAUAAGCAUCAUAUAAAUUCAAGUAUUGAUACAAGCAAUAAGCAGGUAAGCAUAACAGUACAAAAAGGUGCAAUACAAUAAACAAAAAUGAUCAAGUAAUAACAAAAAAUUAAUUAUCGAACAGUUUUAGGGUACAUUCACAUUUACGAUUUUUUUCUAAGGCUAAUAUUUUAUAAUACUUUUUAAUUCUUUAUUGAAGAUGUUGAUGUUAGGGAGGGAUCUGGAGAACUUUGCCUUAUGAAUAUGAUCUUUGCCCAUCAGUGGGAUUGGAUUAAUUAAGAAAAUUAAAGCUUUAUUAGAGCAUUCAAAUUUAGAGAUACUUGGAGAUACUGAGAUAUGUUUUUUGGUUUUGUUAAAAAUAACUUUCUCCAGUUUCCUCCAAAACAUGUUAGAGGAGGCACAGUUGUAAAGUAAGUGCAAAAUUGUAUCUGGCCCAUUUUUACAGAAGGUACAGUUUGCAUCAAUGUCAGCAAAUCCUAAGGGGAAGGAAUUGCAGGGGUAGAUGUUAUGUAAAAUCUUAAAAUUAAUUUCUCUGAUUUUAUUGGAGAUACACACUUGAAACGGAUUAAGCCACGAUAGACGCCAAUUUAUAUUAAUAAACUUUGAAUUCAAAGUGGAUUUGCAUUUAGGCCCAGCUUUGUUAGUAUUCACAGUAGGCCAUCAUUUCACAUGUGAUAAUGUUAAAAAUGAAACACGACGAACUUGACUGCAGUGUCAGAGUGUUCCUAAAUGUUACUGUGCUUUGUCCGUAUGGAGUGCACAAGUCCAGGACUGGUUGGGGGUGAUCACUGGAUCUGGUUGGAAAGGAGCUGUGGGUCUGCAGCCGAUACUGAUCAUAGUCUGAGGUGCAUUGAGUGUUCUUGUGUCUGAGUGGGCAUUAGAGAACUCAAACCAUGUGACACUAAAGUUGCCGAUGUAACCUGAACACAUCAUUCAUCUGUUUUAUUGACUGCCUUACUUUACUUCAGCCACAAUGGAGAAGCAUUCUGCCUUUCUAGACAAAACCAGGAAUUGUUUCAGUCCCUAUAUCCACCUUUUGACUGGUACACUCUACAUACCCCAUCAGUGUUUUGACAGAUAAUUUGAGCGUAGACUUUUUAUUUAAAGAGCAUUAAGGGUAAGUGUAAGGGUUUGGCAGGUUAUGUCAUUACGGAAGACAAUGAAUUGGAGGUUUAGGUUUUGUAAUCAUUGCUCAAUGAGACCUUAUAUGUUUUAUUCUGUCAAAGGUGAAAUGGUUUUUAUGAGAUUAUUUAUUUUAUGUGCAGUUUAAAUGUUUCUGGCACGUAACCUCUAAAGCUAUUAAUCAGAAAUAGCAUAUCAACAUGAAGCAAGACAAAAGGAAAAUGCAUUAUUUUGAUUUUGUUGCUAUCCUAACAUUACUGUAAACUGCCAAAGCACUGGAAUCAAGAAGCUGAACUUAGAGCCUACCACAAACCGCUGCUGAUAAGUAAAAUUCUGAUUUAUUUUUCAUUUAAUUUUACUUGUUUUUGUAAUCUGCUUAUUUGUGCUUUAUUGAUUAAGUGAUAUGUAAGUGAGUUUGUCCUUGUGUUGAAGUCACAUUGAAUAUUUUGUCCAAAGAUUUCCGAUUUUAACAUAAAAAAAAUAAGGUUCAGAGAAAAGUCAGUUUUACUGUGGUUUUGUUUUUCAGCACUUUCACCACUCAUGAAGGUACAUUUCCAGUAGGUUUGAUGUUUUUCUCAUGAAUGUGAGCCUGCAAAUGAAGGACUCAUGCCAGUGUUUUCCAUAAUUCUACUUUCAUAUAAAGUCAUGCACAAAUUCUCCUCUGACAGUUUCAUAUGCAUGGUGUACAGUUGUAGAUUUUUGGUAUGUAUUUUUUUUGGUUUUCAUUUGAUUUCUGCAAGCUAUAAUAAAACUUAAACAACUGGACUGUGAUGAAUGA